Molecule: long non-coding RNA, 2078 nt
Organism: Myotis brandtii (Brandt's bat)
Lineage: Eukaryota; Metazoa; Chordata; Mammalia; Chiroptera; Vespertilionidae
Exons: 3
Source: RefSeq, a predicted model, not a curated record
ACCUCAGCCUAAAAGAGAGAAACAAGCAUGAAGCUGGCCUGCCUCCUAAAAACACACACCAGGGCUCCUGGAGGGCAGGGCCUGGAGCUCUUUCUCGUAUGAUCUUGCCAGCAGAGUGCGGGGAUGAAAGACUGCUAUAUUUUGAUAAUCAAAAGGAUAAUAAACAACCACCUCAAUGGGCCAAGGCUGUGGGGUGGAGAGGCGGCUCCAGUGCCAGGAGCCGAGCUGCCAGCCCCACGCCCUGAUAAGGUCUGCAGUGGGAAUUAAAUCACUUCCUCCUUCGGGGCAGCUGAACCGCAUGAAGUGUGAGGCCCACCUGAGUUGGCACAGAAGCAAGGCCAGGGUGCGGCAGGCAAAGGUGCGGCGCCCUGUUCUGUGGUAUGCCAACCUGCUGCACGCUCAUGGAGUAAGUCAGGGGGCAAGUUUGGUGGUCAGUGACCCAGGGAAUAAGAAGGAAGUGGCUGGGGUUAAGAUGCCAGACCCUGGCCAACGGGUUUGUAGUGGGGGUGGGGGUGGGGGUACGGAACAAGGAAGUGUUAUUCAGCCCAGAUCCCCCUGCGCCUCCCCCAGCCCCACGCCUCUCUUCCUCUCUCCUGGGCUGCAGAAGCUCUGAGCAGAGUUGCCCUCCCAGCCAGGCCCACUUAUCUCAGCUUGGCCAGAGCUCUGCCAACAAUCCAGGGCAGUCUCAUGUGACCCAGCCCCCCCCACAGAGGAGGGGCCUCAGGUGAGGCCCAGGCAGCCCAGGAAGGACUGGAGCACAAGGUGGAAGGCAGAGGACCUGCCCCUCAGCUGCUCUCUCCUGCCCUGAGGCCGCCUGGUAAACCGAUGAAGGAUGAGGAAAUAGAGCAGCUAGACUGGGUGUCAGGCCAAAGGGAGGGCAAUUCUCCCCUCCCCAAGGAAGUACUGCUCUGCUGAGAAAACUCGUCACCCUGGCAUGCCCCGAGCCCAGCCCUGGAAGCAGCCAGCCCUUUAUUGGCAUGGGGCUGCUCCCUGUUAACACACCCUCUGCCUCCUUCCCCCAUACCUGUGGGCUCUAAUGAGCGCCUGUCGGCAGGCCCUGGGCUGAGUCACCCACACUAGCAACAGGUCUCUUCUUCCUCCACAAUCGCGCCCCACGCCUGCAUUCAGUUAACCAGCACCUGCCCGGGCGCCUCUCCCCCAGACACACUGGGGGCCGGGGAGCUACGCCUGCUGCUACGGCCCAGGGUGGUGGGGAAAGGAGACGGUGUGCUGACACACAAGGCAGGGCUGCCCGCAGACAAGUCCCCAGAGGAAUCUUUGGCUCCCCAGUGGCCCUGGGGUGUUGGCCACGGCUGCCCCAACUCCUGCAUGCGGAUGCUGCAAUUACCUGAGCACGAAACCCGGCUUCCCACCUGACUGAGUCAGCUGAGAACAACAACACACCUCCACGCCACACCGCCACACCAGCACAGCCAGCAGGGCACGCAUCAGAGUCGGGGAGCCACGGGGGACAGAGGCAGGGCCACGGCCAGAGGGUGAGCUGGGGCCGUGAGGAGCUGGGGCAGAGGCCGUUCCUAUCACCUGAGAAGAUUCAUCCCUCACCCCCUGGUGCUCCUCUCACUCCGCUCCAAAAGUACCAGAACCAGCAAACUCACCCUCCAAGCAAGACUGAGCAACCUUCCCAUGAUGCUGGAAAGACAGCAGCGGGCAUCACCAGUGAAUACCAGCCUUCGCCUGAACAACCCCAGACCCCACACCUGAGCUUUACGGUCUGAACAGACGCCCUCCACUAGCAAUCUAGGGAGAACCCUCCAAAAUGUGUCCCCCUUGAGAACGGACAAGCAGGGCGGCCUGCUCCCUGCAGCCAUGUCCCCAGCCUGUGGGAGGCUCUCUUCGAGGGCCUCUGGGGAGUGCUGCCUGCAACAGUCAGGGCGAAGAGCAGCCUCCAUGGCGAGCUCUACGGGGCUGUCCUCCCCGGGCAGUGGGAAAGUGGAAGGCUGUGCAGAGUGGUGCUGGCUCCCCGAGAUCCAGUGUCCCCACCAGAACCCUUGAGCCACAGAAAGUACCUGUUCUUGCUGAGAGGAGGUAGCGUGAGGUGACCCAUGGAUCCCCUCAGG